This 1802-nucleotide long non-coding RNA is filed under the name Sus scrofa (pig). Its description in RNAcentral is "lncRNA (ENSSSCG00065060424.1)". Lineage: Eukaryota; Metazoa; Chordata; Mammalia; Artiodactyla; Suidae. The record is from RNAcentral.
AUGUUGCUUAAUCGCCUGUGGGGGAGCUGCAGCCCUGGAAAGGAGCCUGGGCUGUGGGGCUGCCAGGACCUGGCUGGUCUUCUACUCCAAGACAGAGGAGAAUAUCAUUCUUGGGUAAAAUCUCCUUCAAAUGACCUUUGUGAGAGAAGUCCUGUCUGCUUCAGCAUCUGCCUUCCUCGGCCCUUACCCAUGGGAUUGAGAAUAUUAAUGCCAGGAAGAGGUCAGACAUUGAUAUUGAAGAGCAGACCUGUGUUGGAAUGAAUGCAGUUCUAGGGCGAGACUGGUGAAUGAAGAAGGGUAAGUAUGAAUGAGGGCUGACUAGAGCAUGACAGAGAAGAAGGUCAAAAGUACCACAUGUUAAGCUGAAGCCAAGGUUUUUGGGUUUUUUUUUCUCUUUUUUUGGCCAUCCCCAUGGCAUAUGGAGUUCCUGGGCCAGGGACCAGAUCUCAGCCAGAGCUGCUGGACCCUUAACCCACUUAACUCAUUGUGCCAGGCCAGGGAUUGAACCUGAGUGCUAGGGCUCCAGAGACACUUCUGAUCCUGCUGCACCAUAGCAGGAACUCCUGAAGCCAAGAGUCUAAUGAAAGAUUAAGGUGUUCUAAUAAAAGACAGCAAGUGCUCAGCAAAUGCUUCUCAACUGGAUAAAUCAGAAGAUGCUGGUCAGGGGAUCCUUGGCGGGUGAAGGUGCAGAGGCAACCAGCUUGGGAUGUUAAGGGUCUGCAGAGAGUGUAAUUGCGGCUUGAACUGGGGGCAUCCUUGGAAGAGUAGGUACCAAGCAACAGGAACAGAACACCGAAGCUGGGCUUGGUUAAGUGGGAUGGGGCAGAAACUGCUAAUGGCUUACCAGUAUCUACUCUCCCCAUUGUAACACAACCCAGAUUUUAAACUAGAUGACAAGGUGCCCAGUUGAAAGACAACAUUAGUCAGUCAUAUUUGCAGCUGGGAUGGCCACUAAGGUAUAAACAGAAGUUGGAACUAUAUUCAAUAUCCUGUGAUAAACCAUAAUGGAGAAGAAUAUGAAAAAGAAUAUAUAUGGUAUACAUAUGCAUAACUGAAUCACUUUACUGUAGAGCAGAAAUUAACAUAGCAUUGUAAAUCAACUACAUCUCAAUAAAUUUUUUUUAAAAAAGAGUUAUAAGUGGAGGUUGUUGCACGGGGGGUGGGGGGCGCUCUUCUGUGAAGAGGUGAUAGAAUACUAACAUACUUGUAUUUUUCCCUUUUCCCUUCUUCCUGUGCCUUCCUAGAAACGAAAGAUCAAUGUGAUGGUUAGAUCUUCAGCUAUUGAGUCAUGUAGUGAAUUUGAAAAUGGAAGCCAUAUCCUAAGGACAGCAGAACAAAAAGAUAGAGGAAACCUGGAACAUUGAUGACUCUGUAGCUCCCAUACCACUCAGAAUUCAGCCUUCCUUUGUAUGAGAAAUAAGAUAUUAUCUUAUUGAAGCUACUAUUAUUUCCUCCUUCACCUGGGACAUCACAAGCCUAGGGAUCUUUGGAAGGUUUCAAACAAAGAGUGAAGAAUUAGGGAUUUUAUUUGUUUAGUUUUUGGUUGUUUAUUUUUUAAGUUAAAUAGGCUGUAAAAUAAAAGUGUUUUAAUUUGAAAAAAUAGUCUCUGAGCUCUAUCAUAAAAGGAAUCAAGGGGUUAUAUAUUAUUGUAUUAUGUAUUUAUUUGGCUUAAACAAAAAGAGGGUUUUAUUUGCUUAUGUAAUUGAGAAAUCCAGAAGUUGGGUGGGCUUAGGUAAGGCCAUCUCUAGUAGCUGGAUAAGCCAACCAAGAUUCAGUGUCUUUCCAUUUCUUCUGAGUCUCCC